This 861-nucleotide ribosomal RNA is filed under the name Nothomicrosphaeropsis welwitschiae. Its description in RNAcentral is "partial large subunit ribosomal RNA". It matches the Rfam family "Eukaryotic large subunit ribosomal RNA", at positions 65 to 944 of the family's 3401-position model. Lineage: Eukaryota; Fungi; Ascomycota; Dothideomycetes; Pleosporales; Didymellaceae. The record is from RNAcentral.
CCAACAGGGAUUGCCCUAGUAACGGCGAGUGAAGCGGCAACAGCUCAAAUUUGAAAUCUGGCGUCUUUGGCGUCCGAGUUGUAAUUUGCAGAGGGCGCUUUGGCAUUGGCAGCGGUCCAAGUUCCUUGGAACAGGACGUCACAGAGGGUGAGAAUCCCGUACGUGGUCGCUAGCCUUUACCGUGUAAAGCCCCUUCGACGAGUCGAGUUGUUUGGGAAUGCAGCUCUAAAUGGGAGGUAAAUUUCUUCUAAAGCUAAAUACUGGCCAGAGACCGAUAGCGCACAAGUAGAGUGAUCGAAAGAUGAAAAGCACUUUGGAAAGAGAGUUAAAAAGCACGUGAAAUUGUUGAAAGGGAAGCGCUUGCAGCCAGACUUGCCUGUAGUUGCUCAUCCGGGUUUCUACCCGGUGCACUCUUCUAUAGGCAGGCCAGCAUCAGUUUGGGCGGUUGGAUAAAGGUCUCUGUCAUGUACCUCUCUUCGGGGAGAACUUAUAGGGGAGACGACAUGCAACCAGCCUGGACUGAGGUCCGCGCAUCUGCUAGGAUGCUGGCGUAAUGGCUGUAAGCGGCCCGUCUUGAAACACGGACCAAGGAGUCUAACAUCUAUGCGAGUGUUUGGGUGUCAAGCCCGAACGCGUAAUGAAAGUGAACGGAGGUGGGAACCUUUCGGGGUGCACCAUCGACCGAUCCUGAUGUCUUCGGAUGGAUUUGAGUAAGAGCAUAGCUGUUGGGACCCGAAAGAUGGUGAACUAUGCUUGAAUAGGGUGAAGCCAGAGGAAACUCUGGUGGAGGCUCGCAGCGGUUCUGACGUGCAAAUCGAUCGUCAAAUUUGGGCAUAGGGGCGAAAGACUAAUCGAACUAUC